GAUGAACGCUAGCGCUAGGCUUAACACAUGCAAGUCGAGGGACCGGCGCACGGGUGCGUAACGCGUAUGCAACUUGCCUCACAGAGGAGGAUAACCCGUCGAAAGACGGACUAAUACCGCGUACUGUGAGAUAGGCAUGCGUCCCAUUAGCUAGUUGGUGAGGUAACGGCUCACCAAGGCAACGAUGGGUAGGGGAACUGAGAGGUUGAACCCCCAGACUGGUACUGAGACACGGACCAGAACCCUACGGGAGGCAGCAGAGAGGAAUAGUGGGCAAUGAGCGAGAGCCUGAACCUGCCAAGUCGCGUGAAGGAGGACUGGCUAUGAAUUGUAAUCUACUUUUGUAGGAGAAUAGGUACCCUACGAAGAAGCAUCGGCUAACUCCGUGCCAGCAGCCGCGGUAAUUC
Molecule: ribosomal RNA, 407 nt
Filed under: uncultured bacterium
Lineage: Bacteria
Description: partial 16S ribosomal RNA
Rfam family: Bacterial small subunit ribosomal RNA
Source: RNAcentral